GCCUACGUGGUGUAGUGGUCAGCAUGCUCGACACGUAUUCGAGAGGUCCGUGGUUCCAAUCCCGGAGAGGGCA
This 73-nucleotide transfer RNA is filed under the name Stegodyphus mimosarum. It matches the Rfam family "tRNA". From Rfam's summary of the family: Transfer RNA (tRNA) molecules are approximately 80 nucleotides in length. The record is from Rfam by way of RNAcentral. Lineage: Eukaryota; Metazoa; Arthropoda; Arachnida; Araneae; Eresidae.